Molecule: ribosomal RNA, 282 nt
Filed under: Macrocheles subbadius
Lineage: Eukaryota; Metazoa; Arthropoda; Arachnida; Mesostigmata; Macrochelidae
Description: partial 18S ribosomal RNA
Rfam family: Eukaryotic small subunit ribosomal RNA
Source: RNAcentral
GAUUUGGUGGAUGGUGGUGCAUGGCCGUUCUUAGUUGGUGGAGUGAUUUGUCUGGUUAAUUCCGAUAACGAACGAGACUCUAGCCUAUUAAAUAACACACAGAAUCAUGUCUUCUGCGGUGUUUCUUAAUGGGAUCAAGUGUGUUUAACACUUUGAAACAGAGCAAUAACAGGUCUGUGAUGCCCUUAGAUGUUCGGGGCCGCACGCGCGCUACAUUGAAAGACAAAAUGAGCGUUUCUGGUUUUUAACAAAACUAGUAAUCUUUGAAUGUUUUUCUUAAUG